UACGUAGGGUGCAAGCGUUAAUCGGAAUUACUGGGCGUAAAGCGUGCGCAGGCGGUGAUGUAAGACAGGUGUGAAAUCCCCGGGCUUAACCUGGGAACUGCAUUUGUGACUGCAUCGCUGGAGUGCGGCAGAGGGGGAUGGAAUUCCGCGUGUAGCAGUGAAAUGCGUAGAUAUGCGGAGGAACACCGAUGGCGAAGGCAAUCCCCUGGGCCUGCACUGACGCUCAUGCACGAAAGCGUGGGGAGCAAACAGGAUUAGACUACCC
Molecule: ribosomal RNA, 265 nt
Filed under: uncultured bacterium
Lineage: Bacteria
Description: partial 16S ribosomal RNA
Rfam family: Bacterial small subunit ribosomal RNA
Source: RNAcentral